This 500-nucleotide ribosomal RNA is filed under the name uncultured bacterium. Its description in RNAcentral is "partial 16S ribosomal RNA". It matches the Rfam family "Bacterial small subunit ribosomal RNA", at positions 30 to 523 of the family's 1533-position model. The record is from RNAcentral.
AUUGAACGCUGGCGGCAUGCCUUACACAUGCAAGUCGAACGGCAGCGGGGACUUCGGUCCGCCGGCGAGUGGCGAACGGGUGAGUAAUAUAUCGGAACGUACCUUUCAGUGGGGGAUAACGUAGCGAAAGUUACGCUAAUACCGCAUAUUCUGUGAGCAGGAAAGCAGGGGAUCGCAAGACCUUGCGCUGAUUGAGCGGCCGAUAUCAGAUUAGCUAGUUGGUGAGGUAAAGGCUCACCAAGGCGACGAUCUGUAGCGGGUCUGAGAGGAUGAUCCGCCACACUGGGACUGAGACACGGCCCAGACUCCUACGGGAGGCAGCAGUGGGGAAUUUUGGACAAUGAGGGCAACCCUGAUCCAGCCAUGCCGCGUGAGUGAAGAAGGCCUUCGGGUUGUAAAGCUCUUUCGGCCGGGAAGAAAUCGCGCAGGCUAAUACCCUGUGUGGAUGACGGUACCGGAAUAAGAAGCACCGGCUAACUACGUGCCAGCCGCCGCCGUAA